This 442-nucleotide ribosomal RNA is filed under the name uncultured bacterium. RNAcentral describes it as "bacterial SSU rRNA". It matches the Rfam family "Bacterial small subunit ribosomal RNA", at positions 339 to 796 of the family's 1533-position model. The record is from RNAcentral.
CUACGGGAGGCAGCAGUGGGGAAUAUUGGGCAAUGGGCGCAAGCCUGACCCAGCGACGCCGCGUGAGGGAAGAAGGCCCUUGGGUCGUAAACCUCUGUUGUAUGGGAAGAAGGACGUGACGGUACCAUACGAGGAAGUCCCGGCUAACUACGUGCCAGCAGCCGCGGUAAUACGUAGGGGACGAGCGUUGUCCGGAAUUACUGGGCGUAAAGGGCGCGCAGGCGGAUAUUUAAGUCAGCUGUUAAAGUCAUGGGCUCAACUCAUGGAUGCGGUUGAAACUGGAUAUCUCGAGUGCUGGAGAGAUAGGCGGAAUUCCCGGUGUAGCGGUGAAAUGCGUAGAUAUCGGGAAGAACACCAGUGGCGAAGGCGGCUUACUGGCCAGCAACUGACGCUGAGGCGCGAAAGCCAGGGGAGCGAACGGGAUUAGAAACCCUAGUAGUCC